Molecule: long non-coding RNA, 471 nt
Organism: Gallus gallus (chicken)
Lineage: Eukaryota; Metazoa; Chordata; Aves; Galliformes; Phasianidae
Source: Ensembl
GAGCUCUGCUGGUUGCUGGGAUGAUUUGCUGUAGGGCAAGACCUUCAGGUACUUCAUGGGAGGAGAGGCUCCAGGAGGAGAGCCUGUGCCCCGCUGCGGUGCCUUGCAGCUCCUGUGUGAGGAUGAACCAGAAGGGAAGAUCCCAGACUGGCUCUUCAGGAUCUGGUUCCUGGGCUGUCCCUUCAUCUUCUGUCAUGCUGAGGAGCAGUACAGAAGUCUGAGGACUGGACCUGAUCAGCAAGAGCAGGAGUCCUAUGGAAUGGCUCCCAUCAGUGUGCAGGGAGGAUGCUCUGGACCAGCAACAGCCAACAGAACCCCUGAGUGUUCAUCCUCCAGAAGUCAACGCAGCUCCUGCCUCCUUCAACACUACAGCGAGUCCACGCCAUCUCAACCUCGGAGACCCAGGGCCAUUUAGGAUGCCCCAGCAGUCUGCUCCAGCCCCAAACCUGUCGCCCUGCAUUUAAACAACCC